AGAGUUGAUCAUGGCUCAGAUUGAACGCUGGCGGCAGGCUUAACACAUGCAAGUCGAGCGGGGAUAGGGUGCUUGCACCUGAUUCCUAGCGGCGGACGGGUGAGUAAUGCUUAGGAAUCUGCCUAUUAGUGGGGGACAACGUUCCGAAAGGGACGCUAAUACCGCAUACGUCCUACGGGAGAAAGCAGGGGAUCUUCGGACCUUGCGCUAAUAGAUGAGCCUAAGUCGGAUUAGCUAGUUGGUGGGGUAAAGGCCUACCAAGGCGACGAUCUGUAGCGGGUCUGAGAGGAUGAUCCGCCACACUGGGACUGAGACACGGCCCAGACUCCUACGGGAGGCAGCAGUGGGGAAUAUUGGACAAUGGGGGCAACCCUGAUCCAGCCAUGCCGCGUGUGUGAAAGAAGGCCUUUUGGUUGUAAAGCACUUUAAGCGAGGAGGAGGAACUCUAGAAUAAUACUCUAGAUGUUUGGACGUUACUCGCAGAAUAAGCACCGGCUAACUCUGUGCCAGCCGCGGC
RNAcentral lists this ribosomal RNA (517 nucleotides) under uncultured bacterium. RNAcentral describes it as "bacterial SSU rRNA". It matches the Rfam family "Bacterial small subunit ribosomal RNA", at positions 8 to 518 of the family's 1533-position model. The record is from RNAcentral.